AUACGUAGGGGGCGAGCGUUGUCCGGAAUGAUUGGGCGUAAAGGGCGCGUAGGCGGCGCGGUAAGUCUGGAGUGAAAGUCCUGCUUUCAAGGUGGGAAUUGCUUUGGAUACUGCCGCGCUUGAGUGCAGGAGAGGUUAUCGGAAUUCCCGGUGUAGCGGUGAACUGCGUAGAGAUCGGGAGGACAACCAGUGGCGAAGGCGGGUAACUGGACUGCAACUGACGCUGAGGCGCGAAAGUGUGGGGAGCAAACAGGAUUAGAUACCCUGGUAGUCCACACUGUAAACGAUGAAUGCUAGGUGUAAGAGGUAUCGACCCCUUUUGUGCCGGAGUCAACACAAUAAGCAUUCCGCCUGGGGAGUACGGCCGCAAGGUUGAAACUCAAAGGAAUUGACGGGG
RNAcentral lists this ribosomal RNA (397 nucleotides) under uncultured bacterium. RNAcentral describes it as "partial 16S ribosomal RNA". It matches the Rfam family "Bacterial small subunit ribosomal RNA", at positions 523 to 918 of the family's 1533-position model. The record is from RNAcentral.